This 481-nucleotide long non-coding RNA is filed under the name Gossypium barbadense (sea-island cotton). RNAcentral's name for it is "long non-coding RNA (GBAR_LNC011044)". Lineage: Eukaryota; Viridiplantae; Streptophyta; Magnoliopsida; Malvales; Malvaceae. The record is from RNAcentral.
CCCCUCAUUUGUACUCACUCCAUUCAUUGUUUCAUUAUUCUUUGUGAAUAAGAGAAUAGAGAGCAUUUACUCAAACACUUUGUGUGCGUCCCUUUCUGUUGUUCUUUAUAAGCUUCUUUUGGCAUAAGUUUGCUUCCGCUGUACGAGUUGGUGCCUUGGAGGAGUUCUUAAGGAAUCCUCAUUCGAGUAAAGGCUGACUUGGGCGAGUUUGGACGAGCGAAUCGCCUAAGGCCGCACGGAUUGCGAGACGAAAGGUCUAGCCCCGUGACAAGUGGUACCAGAGCUAGAGUUCGAACCAAGAAGUAUCCGAGCUAUUGGUUCAAAGGCACUGUUGGGAUGUCGAAAGAAGAGUUCGAACAAAUAUGGGCGAGAAAGUCUUUGAGGGAAAUGUUGUCGGCAGUAGAGGUACGCGUAGGUAAACUUGAGGAGUCCAUGGAAGACGUUAAAGAGUCUGACAAUGCUCGUGGGGAAAGCAUUGAAG